This 73-nucleotide ribosomal RNA is filed under the name Volucribacter psittacicida. RNAcentral's name for it is "partial 23S ribosomal RNA". Lineage: Bacteria; Pseudomonadati; Pseudomonadota; Gammaproteobacteria; Pasteurellales; Pasteurellaceae. The record is from RNAcentral.
UAGAUAGGCUGGGUGUGUAAGCGUUGUGAGACGUUGAGCUAACCAGUACUAAUUGCCCGAGAGGCUUAACUAU